This 72-nucleotide transfer RNA is filed under the name Gregarina niphandrodes. It matches the Rfam family "tRNA". From Rfam's summary of the family: Transfer RNA (tRNA) molecules are approximately 80 nucleotides in length. Their secondary structure includes four short double-helical elements and three loops (D, anti-codon, and T loops). The record is from Rfam by way of RNAcentral. Lineage: Eukaryota; Apicomplexa; Conoidasida; Eugregarinorida; Gregarinidae.
GUCGAUUUAGCUCAGUCGGCAGAGGACAAGACUUUAAAUCUUGGAGCCGCGUUUCGAGUCCCGCGUUUGACU